UAGGGAAUCUUCGGCAAUGGGGGCAACCCUGACCGAGCAACGCCGCGUGAGUGAAGAAGGUUUUCGGAUCGUAAGGCUCUGUUGUAAGAGAAGAACGUGUGUGAGAGUGGAAAGUUCACACAGUGACGGUAACUUACCAGAAAGGGACGGCUAACUACGUGCCAA
This 165-nucleotide ribosomal RNA is filed under the name uncultured bacterium. RNAcentral describes it as "partial 16S rRNA". It matches the Rfam family "Bacterial small subunit ribosomal RNA", at positions 355 to 511 of the family's 1533-position model. The record is from RNAcentral.